GAUGAACGCUGGCGGCGUGCUUAACACAUGCCAGUCGAACGGACAGGCCGAAGCUUGCUUCGGUACUCGAGUGGCGAACGGGUGAGUAACACGUGUGUGAUCUGCCCUGUACUUCGGGAUAAGCUUUGGAAACUGGGUCUAAUACCGGAUAUGACGAUCUCUUGGAUGGGGUUGUGGAAAGCUUUUGCGGUAUGGGAUGAGCUCGCGGCCUAUCAGCUUGUUGGUGGGGUAAUGGCCUACCAAGGCGUCGACGGGUAGCCGGCCUGAGAGGGUGUACGGCCACAUUGGGACUGAGAUACGGCCCAGACUCCUACGGGAGGCAGCAGUGGGGAAUAUUGCACAAUGGGCGCAAGCCUGAUGCAGCGACGCCGCGUGGGGGAUGACGGCCUUCGGGUUGUAAACUCCUUUCGCAAUCGACGAAGCCUUUUGGUGACGGUAGGUUGAGAAGAAGCACCGGCUAACUACGUG
RNAcentral lists this ribosomal RNA (468 nucleotides) under uncultured bacterium. RNAcentral's name for it is "partial 16S ribosomal RNA". It matches the Rfam family "Bacterial small subunit ribosomal RNA", at positions 28 to 507 of the family's 1533-position model. The record is from RNAcentral.